CCCUGUAGCUCAGUUGGUAGAGCAUGGUGUUUGUAACGCCAGGGUUGUGGGUUUGAUUCCCACAGGGG
This 68-nucleotide transfer RNA is filed under the name Salmo salar (Atlantic salmon). It matches the Rfam family "tRNA". From Rfam's summary of the family: Transfer RNA (tRNA) molecules are approximately 80 nucleotides in length. Their secondary structure includes four short double-helical elements and three loops (D, anti-codon, and T loops). Further hydrogen bonds mediate the characteristic L-shaped molecular structure. tRNAs have two regions of fundamental functional importance: the anti-codon, which is responsible for specific mRNA codon recognition, and the 3' end, to which the tRNAs corresponding amino acid is attached (by aminoacyl-tRNA synthetases). tRNAs cope with the degeneracy of the genetic code in two manners: having more than one tRNA (with a specific anti-codon) for a particular amino acid; and 'wobble' base-pairing, i.e. permitting non-standard base-pairing at the 3rd anti-codon position. Lineage: Eukaryota; Metazoa; Chordata; Actinopteri; Salmoniformes; Salmonidae. The record is from Rfam by way of RNAcentral.